UACACUCCUGCGGGAGGCAGCAGUGGGGAAUAUUGGACAAUGGGCGCAAGCCUGAUCCAACCAUGCCGCGUGAGUGAUGAAGGCCCUAGGGUUGUAAAGCUCUUUCACCGGUGAAGAUAAUGACGGUAACCGGAGAAGAAGCCCCGGCUAACUUCGUGCCAGCAGCCGCGGUAAUACGAAGGGGGCUAGCGUUGUUCGGAUUUACUGGGCGUAAAGCGCACGUAGGCGGACUAUUAAGUCAGGGGUGAAAUCCCGGGGCUCAACCCCGGAACUGCCUUUGAUACUGGUAGUCUUGAGUUCGAGAGAGGUGAGUGGAAUUCCGAGUGCAGAGGUGAAAUUCGUAGAUAUUCGGAGGAACACCAGUGGCGAAGGCGGCUCACUGGCUCGAUACUGACGCUGAGGUGCGAAAGCGUGGGGAGCAAACAGGAUUAGAAACCCCAGUAGUCCCAUG
RNAcentral lists this ribosomal RNA (451 nucleotides) under uncultured organism. RNAcentral's name for it is "partial 16S ribosomal RNA". It matches the Rfam family "Bacterial small subunit ribosomal RNA", at positions 332 to 799 of the family's 1533-position model. The record is from RNAcentral.